Molecule: ribosomal RNA, 259 nt
Filed under: uncultured prokaryote
Description: partial 16S ribosomal RNA
Rfam family: Bacterial small subunit ribosomal RNA
Source: RNAcentral
UACGUAGGUGGCAAGCGUUGUCCGGAAUUACUGGGUGUAAAGGGAGCGCAGGCGGGACAGCAAGUCAGCGGUGAAAUACAUGGGCUUAACCCAUGAACUGCCGUUGAAACUGCCGUUCUUGAGUGGAUCAGAGGCAAGCGGAAUUCCGAGUGUAGCGGUGAAAUGCGUAGAUAUUCGGAGGAACACCAGUGGCGAAGGCGGCUCUCUGGACUGUAACUGACGCUGAGGCACGAAAGCGUGGGGAGCAAACAGGAUUAGA